This 48-nucleotide transfer RNA is filed under the name Trachemys venusta cataspila. RNAcentral's name for it is "partial tRNA-Leu". Lineage: Eukaryota; Metazoa; Chordata; Testudines; Emydidae. The record is from RNAcentral.
CUUCUAAAGGAUAGAAGCAAUCCAUUGGUUUUAGAAACCAUCCACCCU